Non-coding RNA from Ixodes scapularis (black-legged tick), 83 nucleotides. Lineage: Eukaryota; Metazoa; Arthropoda; Arachnida; Ixodida; Ixodidae. The record is from Rfam.
GCAGUUGUGGCCGAGUGGUUAGGGCGAUGGACCAGAAAUCUAUUGGGGUCCCCCCCGCACAGGUUCGAAUCCUGUCGACUGCG